UACGAAGGGGGCUAGCGUUGUUCGGAAUUACUGGGCGUAAAGGGUGCGUAGGCGGCCUUGUAAGUUAAGUGUGAAAGCCCCGGUUUCAAGCUGGGAAUAGCAUUUAAUACUGCAGGGCUAGAGGUUAAGAGAGGAUAGUGGAAUUCUGAGUGUAGAGGUAAAAUUCGUAGAUAUUCAGAGGAACACCAGAGGCGAAAGCGUCUAUCUGGAUUACACCUAACGCUGAGGCACGAAAGUAUGGGGAGCAAACAGG
RNAcentral lists this ribosomal RNA (253 nucleotides) under uncultured bacterium. RNAcentral's name for it is "partial 16S ribosomal RNA". It matches the Rfam family "Bacterial small subunit ribosomal RNA", at positions 524 to 776 of the family's 1533-position model. The record is from RNAcentral.